Ribosomal RNA from Kwoniella mangroviensis CBS 10435, 119 nucleotides. Lineage: Eukaryota; Fungi; Basidiomycota; Tremellomycetes; Tremellales; Cryptococcaceae. The record is from Rfam.
AUCUACGGUUAUAGAACCUGUGAAACAUCGCAUCCCGUUAGAUCUGCGCAAUUUAGUCAGGUGUCGCUCGGUUAGUACCAACGUGGGGGACCAGUUGGGAAUCCCGAGUGCUGUAGUUU